GAUUUGCCUGCCGGUUUGAACAAGGACAUGUUUGUCAAGCGGUUAUGGGAAAAUGGUUUUAAAAAAUGUAAUCAGUCUAGGCAUGGUGGCUCGCACCUAUAAUCCCAGCACUUUGGGAGGCUGACUGAGGCCAGCGGAUCACUUAAGGCCAGGAGUUCGAGACCAGCCUGGCCAACAUGCAAAUGAAGAAACACCCCUGCCGCCAGUGUGACAAGUCUUUCAGCUCGUCCCACAGCCUGUGCCGGCACAACCGGAUCAAGCACAAAGGCAUCAGGAAAGUGUACGCCUGCUCGCACUGCCCAGACUCCAGACGUACCUUUACCAAACGUUUGAUGCUGGAGAAGCACGUUCAGCUGAUGCAUGGCAUCAAGGACCCUGACCUGAAAGAAAUGACAGAUGCCACCAAUGAGGAGGAAACAGAAAUAAAAGAAGACACCAAGGUCCCCAGUCCCAAACGGAAGUUGGAAGAACCAGUUCUGGAGUUCAGGCCUCCCCGAGGAGCAAUCACUCAACCACUGAAAAAGCUGAAAAUCAAUGUUUUUAAGGUUCACAAGUGUGCCGUGUGUGGCUUCACCACCGAAAACCUGCUGCAGUUCCACGAACACAUCCCUCAGCACAAAUCGGAUGGUUCUUCCUACCAGUGCCGGGAGUGUGGCCUCUGCUACACGUCUCACGUCUCUCUGUCCAGGCAUCUCUUCAUCGUACACAAGUUAAAGGAACCUCAGCCAGUGUCCAAGCAAAAUGGGGCUGGGGAAGAUAACCAACAGGAGAACAAACCCAGCCAUGAGGAUGAAUCCCCUGAUGGCGCCGUGUCAGACAGAAAGUGCAAAGUGUGCGCAAAAACUUUUGAAACUGAAGCUGCCUUAAAUACUCACAUGCGGACACACGGCAUGGCCUUCAUCAAAUCCAAAAGGAUGAGCUCAGCCGAGAAAUAGCCACAGAUGCUCCAUGAGGAAAAUCCCUGUCCACAUUGGAAUAAAAAAGACAUUUUUGUUACAAAAAGUUUGCAGUAUAAUAGAGUUAACAGUACUGUCUAGGCUGUUGCAAUAUAUUCUCUUUCAACGUACCUUCCUUCACCUCGUCGUAUAUAUCCUCGAUAAGUAUUAAAACAGUAUUUGAGUUUAAAAGAGUUUGUAUAUAUUUAAAUGAAUAACUUUUUAUACUCUUUGUUACAUGUUUGUAUCAGUAUUUAGUGGAAAACCAUUUGAGUUGUUUUGGGUUAGAAUUUUUCUUUUUGUACUGUUUCUUUAAAACAGAGUUCUUAGUAACAACAGGGGCAGUUCCUGAAUUCAAAUAAACCAUUUUGUAUGUUUGGAUUUUGAAUGGGUUAACUAAUUACAGGCUAAAAUAAUGCCUUUUUUAGUGUUUUUAAUUUUUAGAAUUCACUACAUAAAUUGUAAGUAAUUGUGGGUCUCAAAAACACUAGGAACUUUUAAGUGUCUUAGCACUUCCUCGAUGUGCCUGCCCUGAGGGAGUGAGUUCACAUUUGAGACAACUGCACUCCAGUGUGGGCGUGCCUUUGUCUUCAGGCCACGCUGAA
Molecule: small RNA, 1540 nt
Filed under: Pongo abelii (Sumatran orangutan)
Lineage: Eukaryota; Metazoa; Chordata; Mammalia; Primates; Hominidae
Description: processed transcript
Source: RNAcentral